RNAcentral lists this ribosomal RNA (683 nucleotides) under uncultured Actinomycetes bacterium. RNAcentral describes it as "bacterial SSU rRNA". It matches the Rfam family "Bacterial small subunit ribosomal RNA", at positions 63 to 741 of the family's 1533-position model. Lineage: Bacteria; Bacillati; Actinomycetota; Actinomycetes. The record is from RNAcentral.
CGAACGCUGAAGCCUGGCUUUUGUUGGGUGGAUGAGUGGCGAACGGGUGAGUAACACGUGAGUAACCUGCCCUCUUCUUUGGGAUAACGCCCGGAAACGGGUGCUAAUACUGGAUAUUCACUGGCCUUCGCAUGGGGGUUGGUGGAAAGGUUUGUCCUGGUGGGGGAUGGGCUCGCGGCCUAUCAGCUUGUUGGUGGGGUGAUGGCCUACCAAGGCUUUGACGGGUAGCCGGCCUGAGAGGGUGACCGGUCACAUUGGGACUGAGAUACGGCCCAGACUCCUACGGGAGGCAGCAGUGGGGAAUAUUGCACAAUGGGCGAAAGCCUGGUGCAGCGACGCCGCGUGAGGGAUGGAGGCCUUCGGGUUGUAAACCUCUUUCGCUCAUGGUCAAGCCGCAACUGUGGGUUGUGGUGAGGGUAGUGGGUAAAGAAGCGCCGGCUAACUACGUGCCAGCAGCCGCGGUAAUACGUAGGGCGCGAGCGUUGUCCGGAAUUAUUGGGCGUAAAGGGCUUGUAGGCGGUUGGUCGCGUCUGCCGUGAAAUCCUCUGGCUUAACUGGGGGCGUGCGGUGGGUACGGGCUGACUUGAGUGCGGUAGGGGAGACUGGAACUCCUGGUGUAGCGGUGGAAUGCGCAGAUAUCAGGAAGAACACCGGUGGCGAAGGCGGGUCUCUGGGCCGUUACU